RNAcentral lists this ribosomal RNA (567 nucleotides) under uncultured bacterium. Its description in RNAcentral is "bacterial SSU rRNA". It matches the Rfam family "Bacterial small subunit ribosomal RNA", at positions 53 to 615 of the family's 1533-position model. The record is from RNAcentral.
AACUGCAGUCGAACGCGCAGCUUCUGUAGCAUACAGGUGUGGGCGCGUGGCGAACGGGUGCGUAACACGUGGAUAACCUUCCUUCAGGUGGGGAAUAACCCAGUGAAAACUGGGCUAAUACCGCAUAACAUGACGAUGGCACAUGCUGUUGUCUUCAAAGGCGCAAGUCGCCAGAAUGAGGGAUCCGCGGCCGAUUAGCUUGUUGGCGAGGUAAUGGCUCACCAAGGCAUUGAUCGGUAGCCGGACUGAUGAGGUUGGCCGGCCACACUGGAACUGAGACACGGUCCAGACUCAAUACGGGAGGCAGCAGUGGGGAAUCUUGCACAAUGGACGAAAGUCUGAUGCAUGCAACGCCGCGUGGGGGAUGAAGCUUUUCGGAGUGUAAACCCCUUUCGACCCGGAAGAAAGCCCGCAAGGGUUUGACGGUACGGGUAUAAGAAGCCCCGGGCUAACUACGUGCCAGCAGCCGCGGUAAAACGUAGGGGGCCAGCGUUGCUCGGAAUUACUGGGCGUAAAGGGUCCGUAGGCGGUGUGGCAAGUCGGUAGUGAAAUCUCUGGGCUUAACCC